This 145-nucleotide small nuclear RNA is filed under the name Ascaris lumbricoides (common roundworm). It matches the Rfam family "U4 spliceosomal RNA". From Rfam's summary of the family: U4 small nuclear RNA (U4 snRNA) is a component of the major U2-dependent spliceosome. The structure of U4 snRNA from yeast and human has been reported. U4 snRNA presents a k-turn RNA motif in the 5p-SL related to recognition of Snu13 protein. Lineage: Eukaryota; Metazoa; Nematoda; Chromadorea; Rhabditida; Ascarididae. The record is from RNAcentral.
AGCUUUGCGCAGAGGCGAUAACGUGACCAAUGAGGCUCAGCCGAGGUGCGUUUAUUGCUGGUUGAAAACUUUCACCCAAUUGCCCGCCGCGGCGCCUGAAACAUGGCGGCCGUACGAAUUUUUGAACGCCCUGAAGGGGGCAGCA